UGCCGGGGGGGUGGGCUCGCCGCUUUUUCCUCCGCCGCCUGUCCCCAAAAGCAGACGUGCAGAGGACUAGCGCCUUGCGCUGCCCGUCGGUUUACCAACGCUGCCCAAAGAAAGGGCUGGAUUUAGCCGUCCCCAAAAGGCUGGAAAGCCAUCAGCCAUUCCGAAAUAACCCUCUUUGGUGUUUUUGUUUUAUCUAACAUCCCUCCCUUUCUGGUUCCCCAGCUCGAAUCAGAGGGGUUUUGUUGGGCCCUGUGAAUUGCACACGCUGACCCCCCCUGCCCCGCCCCAGAUUUUGAGGAAGAAUUAUGCAGAAUGGGAACUGGCGAAGAGAGAGGGGGAUUUUAAAAAAGGAGCGUGUAGGAAAUGCUUUUGGAUGGCCAGCUUGCGAGAAUGAGGAACAGAGCUGGGGGGUUCCCCUUGGCAUCACGGCAGCAGCCGUGGCCUUGAAGAAGAUCGGGUACGACGCGUCCGACGUCUCGGUCGGCUGGUGCUGGAUUGACAUCACCGCGCAAGAUCGGCUCCUCUGGAUGCUGCUGGCGGGGAAAUUGUGGGAAAUCCUCGCUUACGUGACCUUGCCAAUUUUUUACAUUCUGAUCAAGAAGCACAUCAACCGAGCGCACGCAGCCCUCUCGGAAUAUCGCCCCAUUUUGUCGAGAGCCCCGUCGUCCCAGCCGAGGACAUCCGUGGCAGACCAGAAGCUGACCUUAAUACCGAUUAUUUUCAUCGUUCUCCGCAUCUGGAGUACCGUCCGGUUUGUGCUGACCCUUUGGGGCUCCCCUGCAGUCCAAAACAGGCUCCUGGUGGUGCUUCACGGCGUCGGAAACACAUUUCAAGGAGCAGCAAAUUGCAUCCUGUUCGUUUUUUGCACCCGCGUGGUCCGGAAUAAGCUGUUUUCUUUGUUGUGCUGCUGGCGAUACGAGAGUCCGGACCCUCCCCGGGCGAGUUUGGAGACCAGCUUCCAGGCUGAGGCUCCCCCCUGCAAAGCCUGCGAGCCGCAAGGCGGCAAUAGCACUGGGGCAGACUUGUCCAGCACCUGAACUUCGCAGGGCUGCAUCGUCAUGGGAAACUCCUCCCGGCCUGGUGGCAUUUUAACCGUAACAAAAAUGAUGUCAAGUGCCUAUAAAGGAUGAUUUUCAUUCACCUGAGAAUAAAAAAAAGACUUUGGGGCUUUUUACAGAAAAAGAAAAUCAUUAGACGCUCACCACAAAAAUGCCUGGAUCUGAAUUCCUCCAACUAAACUUUUUCACUUCUCAGGGCUUUUUUUGGGAAGAUGCUGUGAAGACGUGUUUCUAUUUUUAAAUCAAAUUUUAAGGGAAAAAAGAGAGAGAGAGAAGAAAAUACUGAGUUAAAUUUCAAGGGACGCGGUUAUCCAGGCUCAAGGGGGAGGAAAGAGGCGUGAUGGUCAAAACCCUGUCUGGAAAUCACAGAAGAGAGAGGGACUCCGGGUCCCAUCGUCCUCAGCUAGCUUGAUUAGCAAGGAUGGAAGUUGGCGUCAAGGGGUUGCAUGAAACUCUCUGAAGAUCCAUCGAAAAUUGACUCCGAUCUAGGCCGUUGAGGGCGGUACGGUCUUUGCUGGUGCGAGGACUAUAACAGCCUGGAUUUCAGUAAAUUUUGAUUUUCCUGCAGCUCCACCAGCAAAGCGAUUGGACUUUGACUCAGAAGUUUCUGGGUCCAGCGGAUACCCCCAAUUUUUGAGGACGGCGCGUGUUGCUUCGAAUAAAUGGUCCGAAACCUUUGCCGGGCUGAUUUUUCUCAUCCUGCAUACCUCACUUCCAUGUGUGUGUGUGUGUGUGUGUGUGUUUUAAAGAAAACAAUCCAACCCAACUCUAAAAUGUACAGAUUAAGACUCAUUUUCCAUCCCCCGGUUUGAGGGCGGACUUUAAAUAAAAAAAUUUUUUUUAAUAAA
Python bivittatus (Burmese python) is the source of this 1906-nucleotide non-coding RNA. Lineage: Eukaryota; Metazoa; Chordata; Lepidosauria; Squamata; Pythonidae. The record is from RefSeq and is a predicted model, not a curated record.